RNAcentral lists this ribosomal RNA (523 nucleotides) under Staphylococcus aureus. Its description in RNAcentral is "partial 23S ribosomal RNA". It matches the Rfam family "Bacterial large subunit ribosomal RNA", at positions 1527 to 2047 of the family's 2925-position model. The record is from RNAcentral. Lineage: Bacteria; Bacillati; Bacillota; Bacilli; Caryophanales; Staphylococcaceae.
GAGUAUUAGGCAAAUCCGGUACUCAUUAAGGCUGAGCUGUGAUGGGGAGAAGACAUUGUGUCUUCGAGUCGUUGAUUUCACACUGCCGAGAAAAGCCUCUAGAUAGAAAAUAGGUGCCCGUACCGCAAACCGACACAGGUAGUCAAGAUGAGAAUUCUAAGGUGAGCGAGCGAACUCUCGUUAAGGAACUCGGCAAAAUGACCCCGUAACUUCGGGAGAAGGGGUGCUCUUUAGGGUUAACGCCCAGAAGAGCCGCAGUGAAUAGGCCCAAGCGACUGUUUAUCAAAAACACAGGUCUCUGCUAAACCGUAAGGUGAUGUAUAGGGGCUGACGCCUGCCCGGUGCUGGAAGGUUAAGAGGAGUGGUUAGCUUCUGCGAAGCUACGAAUCGAAGCCCCAGUAAACGGCGGCCGUAACUAUAACGGUCCUAAGGUAGCGAAAUUCCUUGUCGGGUAAGUUCCGACCCGCACGAAAGGCGUAACGAUUUGGGCACUGUCUCAACGAGAGACUCGGUGAAAUCAUAG